GGGGAAUAAGUCUCUGCAGCGUUGUAGUGAAGAGAGAAUACGGGACAACUGCAGGACCACAGCUCAGCCAAGAGCUCCCUUGCAGCUGAGUUGGCCAUAUGACUGACAGCAAGCCCUGGAAUGCAGCCAGAAGUGAUAGAAGCCUCUUUCACACCAUGCUCCUAAAAUAUUCCAAGAAAUUUUCCAAACCUACUCUUUUUAGUCUGUGCAUCUGGAAGUGAAAGUUUUAGAAAGGGUAAAGUCACUUAAUGGAAAGGGCCCAGAUCUAGCCCCUCGGAGCCAAGCUGUCCAACUAGAAAUUCUGCAUUAGUAUUUGCGACCCCAGUAAAAAAAAAAAAGUCCCACAAAGAUGUAGGAUCUCACUUUGCCUGCGUUAAUUCCCUGUCCUUUGCCCAGUUUCUCCUCUCUUGGAAGGCAGAGGCAGCUUCUGAUUUUGAUCACUUCAUGUCCAGCAGAUCUUUGGAGAGAAAAUGCCAAGAGUGGAUGGAGAGGCAAUGGUGAAGCUGAGGCUGAAGUCGGAGGAAGCUGUGAACCCUGCAUGGGGUACCUGAACACCAGGGCAAGUUUCUGGCCCAGAAUGGCUUCUGGGAAAGGGGUCUCGACCCAGCAUUGGAGCUGAAGGAAGUUAAGAAUUAUUGAAACAUCUUGGCUCAAGCAUUGCCUGUGGAUGAUCACAGAUGAACCAUUUCUGGUGCAGAAAAGGCUCCGAUGCUGCUUUUAUGAAGGAACAUAAUGCUAGCUUGGAGAUCACACAAUUGCAGACCUCUUUCCUUCGGUUGGGAAAUAUACUGAAGAACAGAAGAUAUGAGGUUGUUGUAUCCUAGGAAAGAAUGUCAGCCUCUUGCAUCCCCUACAAUUGGUGAGAGAAGCCCUGACCUCAAUAGCAUGAGAAGACCUGGAUUCUGAUGCGAGCUCCACUAGCAGCCUGCUCUCCUGACUCCCCAGUGAUCAUUUCUCCUGUGUACUCUGGGGCUGAUACCUACCCUGUCUUCCUGCUUUGCCCUUGAGGACUUUAGAUGAGCAAAAUGCAAGAGACAUUCCUAUGAAAGGUGUGUGGCAUCAUGCAAUGUGUAGUAUUUAUAAUCCUUUUGUCCACUCGGCCUUGUCACCCUUACAAAGACAAUACAUCUCACCUUGGUACCCAACUGCCUUUUGCUUCUCAGUGCUAGAGGUGCUACUGCUGUCUAUAACCACACUUCUCUUCCUUUUCAUUCUCUGCUUAUUGGUACAUUUCUAAAUGGAGACAAUUUCUGGACAGUUACAUUGUAAGGAGGAAAGCUCUUCUUUCAAAAGUUAUGGAAAGAUCAGCUCUAAGUGAGGGCAGUGCCAUUCAUUCAUUAAACCACUCUUUAUGGAGUGGGUACUGUGAGCCCACCACUAUGCUGUUAUGCACUUGAAUUCAGCAGUGAACAGCACAGGCAAGGUCCCUGCUCUUGUGAAACUUAUAUCUUGAGUUGAGAGGAGAACAAGAGAGAAAUAGAGUAGAAAAGAAAACAAAAAUAAACCAGAUAACCACACAGUGCGGUGAGAACUGUAUGUAGAGUUCUGAUACAAGCCCCAGAUAGGCCACGACUUUGGGGAGGGGGAAACACCAACAUGCACAUAGUAAAUUCCCUGUCAACCUGCAAUUGACCUGGGAAACUGCACUCCUCAAAAAGUGACUUCAUGUAGGUUCCUUUUGAAUGGGCACUUGUGAUCACAUAACCCAGUGAGUGAAAAGUCACUUGGCAGUGUAGAGACCUGUGUCUUCAUAUCUGAAAUGCCAAAAAGUAGGGUUUAAUAUGUUGUUUUCAUUUUAAUUAUAUUUGUGUUCAUCCACAAGUAUAGAAGCUAAAAAAGUAAAAAGGAUGAAAAAUGCAUUAGUUAUCCUAUUUCCAUGAUUCUACCCUCUUGCCUAAAGACCUUCUCCAAUUUUUCUAUC
This is a long non-coding RNA of Homo sapiens (human), 1921 nucleotides long. Ensembl annotates it as long intergenic non-protein coding RNA 499. The record is from Ensembl. NCBI's taxonomy places the organism in Eukaryota, Metazoa, Chordata, Mammalia, Primates, Hominidae.